This 269-nucleotide long non-coding RNA is filed under the name Elaeis guineensis (African oil palm). Its description in RNAcentral is "long non-coding RNA (EGUI_LNC012333)". Lineage: Eukaryota; Viridiplantae; Streptophyta; Magnoliopsida; Arecales; Arecaceae. The record is from RNAcentral.
CAAAUAUGUUGGCAAAGGUGAUUUCCAAGGAGAAGCUUGAGCAUUGUGUCGAGCUCACUAGGAUGGACAACUCCACGUGAGAGUCGGGUGGUCAAUCUCUGCCUACAUGGGCUGGAGGUGGAGAUUGUUCCGUUUGGGCUUCGAUCUAGUGGAUGCCCAUUUUCAUUAAGCCCAUUAGGGGUGUCUUUUGCUUUUUUUUUACUCUAGCCACAUGGUUGGCGGCACAAAAAGGUGAGUGACGGGCAGAAAAAAAAGUAGAAGAAGGAGGU